This 253-nucleotide ribosomal RNA is filed under the name uncultured bacterium. Its description in RNAcentral is "partial 16S ribosomal RNA". It matches the Rfam family "Bacterial small subunit ribosomal RNA", at positions 524 to 776 of the family's 1533-position model. The record is from RNAcentral.
UACGGAGGGUGCAAGCGUUAUCCGGAUUCACUGGGUUUAAAGGGUGCGUAGGCGGGUUGGUAAGUCCGUGGUGAAAUCCCCAAGCUUAACCCGGAAACUGCCAUUGAUACUAUCUGUCUUGAAUUUCCUGGAGGUAAGCGGAAUAUGUCAUGUAGCGGUGAAAUGCUUAGAUAUGACAUAGAACACCAAUUGCGAAGGCAGCUUACUACGGGAAUAUUGACACUGAGGCACGAAAGCGUGGGGAUCAAACAGG